Molecule: ribosomal RNA, 253 nt
Filed under: uncultured bacterium
Lineage: Bacteria
Description: partial 16S ribosomal RNA
Rfam family: Bacterial small subunit ribosomal RNA
Source: RNAcentral
UACGAAGGGUGCAAGCGUUACUCGGAAUUACUGGGCGUAAAGCGUGCGUAGGUGGUUUGUUAUGUCGGAUGUGAAAGCCCUCGGCUCAACUGAGGAAGUGCAUCCGAAACUGGCAAGCUAGAGUAUGUAAGAGGGUCGCGGAAUUCCCGGUGUAGAGGUGAAAUUCGUAGAUAUCGGGAGGAACACCGGUGGCGAAGGCGGCGACCUGGGACAAUACUGACACUGAGGUGCGAAAGCGUGGGGAGCAAACAGG